AGAAUAAGGGGAGGAUUCUGCGUUCCUUGUUUAAGCAAAGUCCUGCUGUGCUGUGCAGUGAGGUCAAGGUGCUCAUGUAUGAAAAUUUUGGCCAAACAUCUGUCAGGAUGUAAACACAGAAGGAGUAUUUGGCUGCUGGCUGCGUUACCUGUGUAGGAGCAAGAAGGCAGAUGGGAGUGUUCUGUUAUGAAUAACAAGACACAGGCUUCCCUUAAUGACCUCAUCCUGCUAACCAUGAAAAGGAAAUCCAAAGGAUAUGGAGCAAUUUUCCUCUUUUGCUGCUGCUCAUGUGAACUCAGGAAUCUGUGAAUUAUUCUAGGACAUCUGAAUUCCCAUGUAAUCUUCUCUGAGAGCUUCCUCCCCACUGCUCUGUUUCCCUUUUGCAGCUUCCUAGGAGAGAAAUUUGUGAAAGAUGGGCUGUGCUUUAAAAAGGUGAAUCAUCAAACUCAAAUCCCAACAGCAGCACAACCACCUUGAAUGAAAAUUAAGUUUUUAACAUCUGAGAACCCAUACAGACUGGUAGGCAUAUGUGUUGAAUUCUUUGUAAUCUGUCUAUGCUCUUCCUGGCAUGUGUCCACUGCUGACAUUUUCCUGUUGAUACUGUUUCUACAUGUACUCAUAACCUUCAGACAUAGCAUGUAAAAUUUGUUAUUUUCUUAUUCUUUCAUUCACCUGAAGCGUAUCAAUUUGCAUAGAUUUUACUACUGCUAAUAAUCAGUGAGUAUGCAGGGUUUCUUUGCCAUGAUAGAACUGAUCUCUGUUAGAGGAAGAAUAGACUCUCGUCAAGACUAGGUUACUAAGUCCAGACUGUUUAGAAAUAUUUUAGAAGAAACAUUUCUUUCUGUAAGCCUUCUCAAGCUGACUGUUUCUUUACUUUCUGUUCAAGGUUAAAAGCAGGACUAUGUGUCAGUAUGGUACUCCAUUCUAUAAAUUAUUUUAAUCCGUAAGUUUUCUAAGAAAGUUUUCACACUCUGUUGACAAUCCAUUGUACAAGAGAGGUAAGUGGGAGUUUUCCUGUCUGAUUUACUUUAUUUAUAUGCUGUGCUUCUGUAUUCCAGCUCUCAUCGUGGACUUUCCAAGAAGAGAAGAAAUACAAACUGUAUUCUUAAAGCAUCACUCCUCUCCAAGUGGUGAGUUCUCAACAGUCAGUAGGCAACACAGAUUUCUCAUAUUAGAAGUGUAGCCACGUCAUCUGCUGAACUGAUUCAACUCUUCUGAACACUCAUCCAUUUUAAUACAUAUGUUGAAAGAAAUUAUUCUAAUGCUGUUCAACACUUGAGAUUAGGAUAAAAGUACUUUCAGUAUUGGUUUAUUCAUUUAUUUAUUAUUUUAUUUUGAGUCUUCUUUCCCAUGUAAAAUAUUCUAGUUGAAUCUUUUCUGCUCUUCUCCAUUAAAGUUGUCACCUUUUCAAAUACUGGCUCUUUCACUAGUGUUCAUGGCUAAUGUGACAUGAGAAAGAGAAUAGAAUUUUAUCUGGCUUAGACAACACAGCAGUUACAGUAACUUUUAAUUUCAGUAGAUGGUGAUAUUGUGAAUACAUCCUCAGCAAUAAACUCAGCUGGUUAUUUGGUCAACAGAAGUGCUAUACGGGCUGCUAAUUGCAACCCUAUGUUGGAUAUGGUUCCAAGUACAUGUUCUAAGUGUUAGCCCAGAAGGCAGUUUUCAAAGGAAAAAAGCUCUUCCAGAAAAUUCAGUUGUGAGGCUGGUGACUGAGACGAAAGGCACCAGAAACAACUUUAAAAAGCUGCGGUACCUCCUCUUCCUUCCUAAUCAUCUGGAUGUCUUUUUCCUCAGGGAGCAUUAGUGGGUAUUGACUAACAUAUUCAGACAAAAAGUAUGGAACAGAGACUCUGUGAACUACUCUUUGCAUUUAAGUUGAUCUUUGUGUAAAUCAACUAGGAAGGUAAUGGGGUCACACAUUUUACAAGAUGGGAAAAAAAUAUUACUAAAUAGCUAUGAUGCCACGGAAAGGGCAAAAGGUUAAGAAAAUGAUUAGCUUGAGGGAAGAGUCACAUAUACAGAGGGAUGGAAACACUUGGCUAAUAAGUGUGUGGCAUUCCUCUGCUGUGAUUUCAGAAUUCACAAUACCAACAAGCUUUUCUUUUCUUUUCUGAACUCAUCAGAAAGUCUACAUCCCCUAUAAUUAAAAAGGAAGAAAAUCAGUAGGAAAUGAUAAGGGUAUGGGAACUAGGAAGAAAUUUUGUACUAGUGAGCAUUACCACCAUUUAGUUGCAUGGACACAGCUCAGUGAGCAGAGUUUAAUAUUGUAAGUCACAAAACAAAUCCCUGCUUUUUCUUUGCAUGUUUGAAUAAAGUUUUCUCAGUUAUUUGAUGGGACCAGAUAAGAGGGACUCUAUGCUGAUAUCAAAUAAAGGAAUGUAUCCUCCAUGACUUUGUUUCAAUCCUGUUUACUGCUAGCUAUGAGUUUUAUUGCGUAUU
Tympanuchus pallidicinctus (lesser prairie-chicken) is the source of this 2439-nucleotide long non-coding RNA. RefSeq lists it as uncharacterized. The record is from RefSeq and is a predicted model, not a curated record. Lineage: Eukaryota; Metazoa; Chordata; Aves; Galliformes; Phasianidae. The transcript has 4 exons.